CAACAUGCGGAGGAUCAUUA
RNAcentral lists this ribosomal RNA (20 nucleotides) under Globisporangium ultimum var. ultimum. RNAcentral's name for it is "partial 18S ribosomal RNA". The record is from RNAcentral. Lineage: Eukaryota; Oomycota; Peronosporomycetes; Pythiales; Pythiaceae.